GUCACCUUGGCGGAGUGGUUAACGCGCUGCCCUGCUAAGGCAGUUCCCUCGGGAGCGUAGGUUCGAAUCCUACAGGUGACA
Molecule: non-coding RNA, 81 nt
Organism: Echria macrotheca
Lineage: Eukaryota; Fungi; Ascomycota; Sordariomycetes; Sordariales; Schizotheciaceae
Source: the annotation of a GenBank genome assembly